AGAUUGAACGCUGGCGGCAGGCCUAACACAUGCAAGUCGAGCGGCGGCACGGGUACUUGUACCUGGUGGCGAGCGGCGGACGGGUGAGUAAUGCCUAGGAAUCUGCCUGAUAGUGGGGGAUAACGCUCGGAAACGGACGCUAAUACCGCAUACGUCCUACGGGAGAAAGCAGGGGACCUUCGGGCCUUGCGCUAUCAGAUGAGCCUAGGUCGGAUUAGCUAGUUGGUGGGGUAAUGGCUCACCAAGGCGACGAUCCGUAACUGGUCUGAGAGGAUGAUCAGUCACACUGGAACUGAGACACGGUCAGACUCCUACGGGAGCAGCAGUGGGAAUAUUGGACAAUGGG
Molecule: ribosomal RNA, 346 nt
Filed under: uncultured soil bacterium
Lineage: Bacteria
Description: bacterial SSU rRNA
Rfam family: Bacterial small subunit ribosomal RNA
Source: RNAcentral